RNAcentral lists this ribosomal RNA (1245 nucleotides) under metagenome. RNAcentral describes it as "bacterial LSU rRNA". It matches the Rfam family "Bacterial large subunit ribosomal RNA", at positions 1564 to 2817 of the family's 2925-position model. The record is from RNAcentral.
UGAAUACGAGAUGCUACGGCGUCGAAGCAGUGUAUGUCAGACUUCCAAGAAAAGCUCGCAAUGUCAUAAAUAAAGAAUGCCUGUACCAUAACCGACACAGGUGGGUAGGUAGAGUAUACUAAGGGGCGCGAGAUAACUCUCUCUAAGGAACUCGGCAAAAUAACUCCGUAACUUCGGGAGAAGGAGUGCCUUCUUUAAGAAGGUUGCAAUAACAAGAUCCAAGCAACUGUUUAUCAAAAACACAGGUCUCCGCUAAGUCGUAAGACGAUGUAUGGGGGCUGACGCCUGCCCAGUGCCAGAAGGUUAAAGAAGCUGGUUAGCAAUAGCGAAGCUGGUGACUGAAGCCCUGGUGAACGGCGGCCGUAACAAUAAUGGUCCUAAGGUAGCGAAAUUCUUUGUCGGGUAAGUUCCGACCCGCACGAAAGGCGUAAUGAUUUGGAUACUGUCUCGGAGAGGGACUCGGUGAAAUAGACUUGUCUGUGAAGAUGCGGACUACCUGCACCAGGACAGAAAGACCCUAUGAAGCUUUACUGUAACCUGAAAUUGAAAUUGGACUUUAUUUGCGCAGUAUAGGUGGGAGGCGUUGAAAGUAAUCUUGCGGGAUUAGUGGAGCCAUCAGUGAGAUACCACUCCUAUAAUGUUAGAUUUCUAACUUUGGAUCAUGAUCUGGUCAAAGAACAGUUUCAGGCGGGCAGUUUGACUGGGGCGGUCGCCUCCCAAAUGGUAACGGAGGCGUACAAAGGUUUCCUCUGAACGGGUAGAAAUCGUAUCUAGAGUGUAAAGGCAUAAGGAAGCUUGACUGUGAGACCUACAAGUCGAGCAGGGACGAAAGUCGGUCUUAGUGAUCUGACGGUGCUGAGUGGAAAGGCCGUCACUCAACGGAUAAAAGUUACUCUAAGGAUAACAGGCUGAUCUCCCCCAAGAGUUCACAUCGACGGGGAGGUUUGGCACCUCGAUGUCGGCUCAUCGCAUCCUGGGGCGGUAGUACGUCCCAAGGGUUGGGCUGUUCGCCCAUGAAAGCGGUACGCGAGCUGGGUUCAGAACGUCGUGAGACAGUUCGGUCCAUAUCCGGUGUAGGCGUUAGAAUAUUGAGAGGAGCCUUCUCUAGUACGAGAGGACCGAGAAGGACAUACCUCUGGUGUACCAGUUAUCGUGCCAACGGUAAACGCUGGGUAGCUAUGUAUGGAGAGGAUAACCGCUGAAAGCAUCUAAGUGGGAAGCCCACCUCAAGAUGAGUAUUCUCAC